This 1299-nucleotide long non-coding RNA is filed under the name Scleropages formosus (Asian bonytongue). Its description in RNAcentral is "lncRNA (ENSSFOG00015024769.1)". The record is from RNAcentral. Lineage: Eukaryota; Metazoa; Chordata; Actinopteri; Osteoglossiformes; Osteoglossidae.
CGUCACCGGCAGCAACGGCAGGGGUUGAGUACGACACCGCUUCCUUCAGACUCGGGUUCCGUCAAAGGCUUUCUUCUUCAGACGUACCGUGCUUUUUACCUUUCUCCUGUACAGAAGAAGGACCUGAGGAGCAUGUGGACCUGUGUACGCCAAAGACACCAUGCCUGAACAGAGUAAACAACACUACCUCCUUCUCCACGUUCUCUGCAGCGUCCUGCAAAUGCCAUCACCUGCAGGAUCUCCACUUGCUUCUGAAGAUCCCCACCCUGUGGAUGAGUCGCAGCUGAUCUACAGCACCAUCACCUUUCCCUCGGGAUCCGAACGUCCAAACACAGAGCAAAGAGAACUGCAACGUUCUACAUCCAGCACGGUGCUAUAUAGUCAACUAGCUCUGAAGAACCAUCACCGCGUCCACCCCGGCGACCAGGAGGAGGCGCUCCGCACCGUCUACGUUCUGACACAAGUUCCCCUUUAUUGCUCCUUCGCUAAAGAGGAUCACUGACCCUUACUGCGGGGUAUUUCCCGCUAGAACGGACCGUUGCCAUGGCAACAAGGAGCUGGACUCUCCGUCGGAAAGGUGAUUGAAAUAUGAAAACGGAACUGAACAGCAGAGUCACGAAACAAAGAGGCUCUUGUAGGUUUUCGACGGCUGAGAAAAGCAUGACUCACGCGGUUUUGGAGGAGGUGAGAGGACACGGCGUUGGGCCACUGUUUCAUUAGCGCUCAUGUCCUCUGUGGGACUCCCGGUCAAAAAAAAAAACAGGGCUUUGAUCAACCGCACGGGUGUUUCCGAGCGGCACCCUUUACUGACCCUUGUGCAGCUUCUCGUCACGUUUCGCUUGUUUAUUGUGUUCGCCUCUAACUGAGAAGCAGCACAGGAAGCAUAUAUGCAAGAUAAAGAUCACUUUUGACUUGAUGUCGGCUCACAGAGUCGGCUCUAUGAUUUGUUUCCUUGGCGGUGUUUUUUUUUGUUUUCUGCUGUUUUAAGGUAGCAGCAUCCUGUUAUAGAUGGUAAAUAUGUCGGCAGUGCUUGUGAAAGAUCAGUCUUAAUUCUUCACAUAUCAGUGUGACUAUAUGCACCACAUACAUCACGUGUCAUCAGCGAAUGACUGUUAUUUAUAAGUCUUUCAAGCAUUGUAAUUCCUUUUUUAAAUUCAGCCAUUCAUUAAUUUGCCCACAAGUGCGCAGCGGUUCAAAGCCCAUCUCUAAAGCAUGGGUGGGGGGGUAGAAUGCACCUUUGAUGGGGCAUGAAUUUUUAUCAUUUGUCAUGUAGAUAAUAAAUUGACAGUUACUAAUGCA